This 264-nucleotide ribosomal RNA is filed under the name uncultured bacterium. RNAcentral's name for it is "partial 16S ribosomal RNA". It matches the Rfam family "Bacterial small subunit ribosomal RNA", at positions 90 to 354 of the family's 1533-position model. The record is from RNAcentral.
UUCGAGUGGCGGACGGGUGAGUAACGCGUGGGUAACCUGCCUUACACAGGGGGAUAACACCUGGAAACAGGUGCUAAUACCGCAUAAGCGCACAGGGCCGCAUGGCCCGGUGUGAAAAACUCCGGUGGUGUAAGAUGGACCCGCGUCUGAUUAGCUUGUUGACGGGGUAGGGGCCCACCAAGGCGACGAUCAGUAGCCGGCCUGAGAGGGUGGACGGCCACAUUGGGACUGAGACACGGCCCAAACUCCUACGGAAGGCAGCAG